AACCAGUGAUGAACCUAUCCCGAACCUGAGCACUUGAUGAGAAAUCUCAAAUACGGAUCUGGCUUCUGAGGU
Molecule: small nucleolar RNA, 72 nt
Organism: Eublepharis macularius
Lineage: Eukaryota; Metazoa; Chordata; Lepidosauria; Squamata; Eublepharidae
Product: small nucleolar RNA SNORD50
Exons: 1
Source: RefSeq, a predicted model, not a curated record